GGUCUGGUAGUUCAGUUGGUUAGAAUGCCUGCCUGUCACGUAGGAGGUCGCGGGUUCGAGUCCCGUCCAGACCGC
RNAcentral lists this transfer RNA (75 nucleotides) under Cardinium endosymbiont of Culicoides punctatus. RNAcentral's name for it is "tRNA-Asp". It matches the Rfam family "tRNA". From Rfam's summary of the family: Transfer RNA (tRNA) molecules are approximately 80 nucleotides in length. The record is from RNAcentral. Lineage: Bacteria; Pseudomonadati; Bacteroidota; Cytophagia; Cytophagales; Amoebophilaceae.